Long non-coding RNA from Stegostoma tigrinum, 486 nucleotides. RefSeq lists it as uncharacterized. NCBI's taxonomy places the organism in Eukaryota, Metazoa, Chordata, Chondrichthyes, Orectolobiformes, Stegostomatidae. The record is from RefSeq and is a predicted model, not a curated record. The transcript has 4 exons.
AAAUUAGGACAGUGUUGCCAUUGUGUUCUAUUCUGUGAAGUUGUUUAAUCUGAAAGUAAGUUAAAAUCGGUAUUGUAAUCUUUUGGGUAGUGAAAGCCAAGUAGAGAAAAGGUUGACACUAUGUGAACUUGCCUUGAAUUAAAGCGGUAUUUGGACGCAGCAGUGAAAAUUCAAGUCAGCAAACAGCCCUGGAGCAUAUGGCACUUAUGAAUAUAUAACCAGGACUGUACUUUAACCGAAGCUUCUGCUGUGGAUUUUUUGGAAUGCCAGGAAUUUUAUAACUAAAUAGUGUACAAUCGGUUAAAGGGACAGUCUUUCAUAUAUGUCAUUCAUCGGUGGUCCCUUGCAGAUGAGGAUGACGCUCUUCCACUCUCAGGGAUGAGGGCAUCGCUGGCUAGGCAGCAUUUGUUGCCCAUCCUUAAUUGCCCAGAGGGUAGUUGAGAGUCAACCACAUUGCUGUGGGUUUGGAGCCACAUGUAGGCCAGA